CAGUCGCCGCGGGAAUACCGAGGAUGCAAGCGUUAUCCGGAAUGAUUGGGCGUAAAGCGCGCGCAGGUGGUUUAAUAAGUCUGAUGUGAAAGCCCACGGCUCAACCGUGGAGGGUCAUUGGAAACUGUUAAACUUGAGUGCAGGAGAGAAAAGUGGAAUUCCUAGUGUAGCGGUGAAAUGCGUAGAUAUAUGGAGGAACACCGGUGGCGAAAGCGGCUCUCUGGCUUGUAACUGACGCUGAGGCUCGAAAGCGUGGGGAGCAAACAGGAUUAGAUACCCCUGUAGUCCCUGUCUCUUAUAC
RNAcentral lists this ribosomal RNA (301 nucleotides) under uncultured bacterium. RNAcentral's name for it is "partial 16S ribosomal RNA". It matches the Rfam family "Bacterial small subunit ribosomal RNA", at positions 509 to 807 of the family's 1533-position model. The record is from RNAcentral.